RNAcentral lists this ribosomal RNA (440 nucleotides) under uncultured bacterium. RNAcentral's name for it is "partial 16S ribosomal RNA". It matches the Rfam family "Bacterial small subunit ribosomal RNA", at positions 338 to 795 of the family's 1533-position model. The record is from RNAcentral.
CCUACGGGAGGCAGCAGUUGGGAAUAUUGGACAAUGGGGGAAACCCUUAUCCAGCGACGCCGCGUGAGUGAAGAAGUAUUUCGGUACGUAAAGCUCUAUCAGCAGGAAAGAAAAUGACGGUACCUGACUAAGAAUCCCCGGCUAACUACGUGCCAGCACCCGCGGUAAUACUCAGGGGACAAGCGUUAUCCGGAUGUACUGGGGGUAAAGGGAGCGUAGACGGCAGCGCAAGUCUGGCGUGAAAUGCCGGGGCCGAACCCCGGAACUGCUUUGGAAACUGUGAAGAGUGAGUGCAGGAGAGGUAAGCGGAAUUGCUGGUGUAGCGGUGAAAUGCGUAGAUAUUAGGAGGAACACCGGCGGCGAAGGCGGCUUACUGGACUGGAACUGACGUUGAGGCUAGAAGGCGUGGGGAGCAAACAGGAUUAGAUACCCCAGUAGUC